GUUAUCUGAGUCAUUAAAUCUUUUUUGUAUAGUUCUUCUGUGUAUUCUUGCCACCUCUUCUUAAUCUUUUCUGCUGCUUUUAGGUCCAUAUUGUUUCUACUCUUUAUUGUGUCCACCUUUGUAUGAAAAUUUCCCUUGGUAUCUCUAAUUUUCUUGAAGAUAACUCAGUCUUUCCCAUUCUAUUGUUUUCCUCUAUUUCUUUGCAUUUUUCACUUAGGA
Long non-coding RNA from Cervus elaphus (red deer), 219 nucleotides. RefSeq lists it as uncharacterized. The record is from RefSeq and is a predicted model, not a curated record. The transcript has 3 exons. NCBI's taxonomy places the organism in Eukaryota, Metazoa, Chordata, Mammalia, Artiodactyla, Cervidae.